RNAcentral lists this transfer RNA (83 nucleotides) under Acidimicrobiia bacterium. RNAcentral describes it as "tRNA-Leu". It matches the Rfam family "tRNA". Rfam says of the family: Transfer RNA (tRNA) molecules are approximately 80 nucleotides in length. Their secondary structure includes four short double-helical elements and three loops (D, anti-codon, and T loops). Lineage: Bacteria; Bacillati; Actinomycetota; Acidimicrobiia. The record is from RNAcentral.
GCGGGCGUGGCGGAAUUGGCAGACGCGCCAGGUUUAGGUCCUGGUGGGCAUAGCCCGUGGGGGUUCAAAUCCCUCCGCCCGCA